RNAcentral lists this ribosomal RNA (576 nucleotides) under uncultured Vibrio sp. RNAcentral describes it as "bacterial SSU rRNA". It matches the Rfam family "Bacterial small subunit ribosomal RNA", at positions 162 to 733 of the family's 1533-position model. Lineage: Bacteria; Pseudomonadati; Pseudomonadota; Gammaproteobacteria; Vibrionales; Vibrionaceae. The record is from RNAcentral.
GCUAAUACCGCAUGAUGCCUACGGGCCAAAGAGGGGGACCUUCGGGCCUCUCGCGUCAAGAUAUGCCUAGGUGGGAUUAGCUAGUUGGUGAGGUAAUGGCUCACCAAGGCGACGAUCCCUAGCUGGUCUGAGAGGAUGAUCAGCCACACUGGAACUGAGACACGGUCCAGACUCCUACGGGAGGCAGCAGUGGGGAAUAUUGCACAAUGGGCGCAAGCCUGAUGCAGCCAUGCCGCGUGUAUGAAGAAGGCCUUCGGGUUGUAAAGUACUUUCAGCAGUGAGGAAGGGGGUGUCGUUAAUAGCGGCAUCUCUUGACGUUAGCUGCAGAAGAAGCACCGGCUAACUCCGUGCCAGCAGCCGCGGUAAUACGGAGGGUGCGAGCGUUAAUCGGAAUUACUGGGCGUAAAGCGCAUGCAGGUGGUUUGUUAAGUCAGAUGUGAAAGCCUGGGGCUCAACCUCGGAACUGCAUUUGAAACUGGCAAACUAGAGUACUGUAGAGGGGGGUAGAAUUUCAGGUGUAGCGGUGAAAUGCGUAGAGAUCUGAAGGAAUACCAGUGGCGAAGGCGGCCCCCUGGA